This 393-nucleotide ribosomal RNA is filed under the name uncultured bacterium. RNAcentral describes it as "bacterial SSU rRNA". It matches the Rfam family "Bacterial small subunit ribosomal RNA", at positions 505 to 898 of the family's 1533-position model. The record is from RNAcentral.
GUGCCAGCAGCCGCGGUGAUACGUACUGUGCGAACGUUAUUCGGAAUUACUGGGCUUACAGGGUGUGUAGGCGGCCAAUUAAGUAGGGUGUGAAAGGCCUCGGCCUAACCGAGGCAUUGCGCUCUAAACUGUUUGGCUUGAGUGAGAUAGGGGUGUGCGGAACUUCCAGUGGAGCGGUGAAAUGUGUUGAUAUUGGAAGGAACGCCGGUGGCGAAAGCGGCACACUGGGUCUCAACUGACGCUGAGACACGAAAGCCAGGGGAGCGAACGGGAUUAGAUACCCCGGUAGUCCUGGCUGUAAACGAUGAGCACUAGUUGGGAGGGGCUUCGGCCCAUUCGAACGCAGCGAAAGCAUUAAGUGCUCCGCCUGGGGAGUAUGGUCGCAAGGCUGAA